AUUGAACGCUGGCGGCAGGCCUAACACAUGCAAGUCUAACGGUAACAGGAAGAAGCUUGCUUCUUUGCUGACGAGUGGCGGACGGGUGAGUAAUGUCUGGGAAACUGCCUGAUGGAGGGGGAUAACUACUGGAAACGGUAGCUAAUACCGCAUAACGUCGCAAGACCAAAGAGGGGGACCUUCGGGCCUCUUGCCAUCGGAUGUGCCCAGAUGGGAUUAGCUAGUAGGUGGGGUAACGGCUCACCUAGGCGACGAUCCCUAGCUGGUCUGAGAGGAUGACCAGCCACACUGGAACUGAGACACGGUCCAGACUCCUACGGGAGGCAGCAGUGGGGAAUAUUGCACAAUGGGCGCAAGCCUGAUGCAGCCAUGCCGCGUGUAUGAAGAAGGCCUUCGGGUUGUAAAGUACUUUCAGCGGGGAGGAAGGGAGUAAAGUUAAUACCUUUGCUCAUUGACGUUACCCGCAGAAGAAGCACCGGCUAACUCCGUG
RNAcentral lists this ribosomal RNA (490 nucleotides) under uncultured bacterium. Its description in RNAcentral is "partial 16S ribosomal RNA". It matches the Rfam family "Bacterial small subunit ribosomal RNA", at positions 30 to 507 of the family's 1533-position model. The record is from RNAcentral.